This 259-nucleotide long non-coding RNA is filed under the name Zostera marina. Its description in RNAcentral is "long non-coding RNA (ZMAR_LNC006121)". The record is from RNAcentral. Lineage: Eukaryota; Viridiplantae; Streptophyta; Magnoliopsida; Alismatales; Zosteraceae.
GCUUAAUAAAUAAUUGUGGUCAUCACUAUUAAACAUAAUUGUGACCAGCUGCUGAAAGCUUGCAAUUAUUUUUUUUCUUUACCGUCAGCAGAGAGUUCUGUUACCUCAGUGAGCUGAUUUGGGGACUUGGUGUGUUGGCGAUUUUGCGGUAGUUCGUUUCCGUGAUCUGUUUCUUUCCUAAUCUCGACGACAUGGUCAUUUGGGUUCUUUUUCAGCGUUGACUACAACUACUGAUUUGGGCAGGCCGUCUAGGUCUGUG